RNAcentral lists this ribosomal RNA (204 nucleotides) under Triticum aestivum (bread wheat). Its description in RNAcentral is "partial small subunit ribosomal RNA". The record is from RNAcentral. Lineage: Eukaryota; Viridiplantae; Streptophyta; Magnoliopsida; Poales; Poaceae.
AUGUCACCGUUUCACACAAUGCACGGGCAUAAUAGAGAGAGAGAGCAUCGUGACUGCCAUGGCUUGAACUAUUUUGUUGAGAUCCUGGAAAAAUUGAAUGGUAUAAUUCUGUUAAUUGGGAACCUUGGAAUUGAUUUUCACCUGAAAAGGUUGAUCGAGGGUCGGAUAAUGGACGUAACACAGCUGCUAGAGAAGAUAUUAUAA